Molecule: ribosomal RNA, 795 nt
Filed under: uncultured marine thaumarchaeote
Lineage: Archaea; Thermoproteati; Nitrososphaerota
Description: bacterial SSU rRNA
Rfam family: Archaeal small subunit ribosomal RNA
Source: RNAcentral
ACGGCUGCUCAGUAACACGUAGUCAACUUACCCUAUGGACGAGGAUAAUCUCGGGAAACUGAGCAUAAUACUCGAUAGAUCAUAAUGCCUGGAACGGUUUAUGGUUGAAAUGAUUCGUCGCCAUAGGAUAGGACCGCGGCCUAUCAGCUUGUUGGUGAGGUAAUGGCCCACCAAGGCGAUUACAGGUACGGGCUCUGAGAGGAGAAGCCCGGAGAUGGGUACUGAGACAAGGACCCAGGCCCUAUGGGGCGCAGCAGGCGAGAAAACUUUGCAAUGUGCGAAAGCACGACAAGGUUAAUCCGAGUGAUUUCUGCUAAAGAAAUCUUUUGCAAGUCAUAAAACCACUAGUGAAUAAGGGGUGGGCAAGUUCUGGUGUCAGCCGCCGCGGUAAAACCAGCACCUCAAGUGGUCAGGAGGAUUAUUGGGCCUAAAGCAUCCGUAGCCAGCUCUGUAAGUUUUCGGUUAAAUCCAUGUGCUCAACGCAUGGGCUGUCGAAAAUACUGCAUAGCUAGGGAGUGGGAGAGGUAGACGGUACUCGGUAGGAAGGGGUAAAAUCCUUUGAUCUAUCGAUGACCACCUGUGGCGAAGGCGGUCUACCAGAACACGUUCAACGGUGAGGGAUGAAAGCUGGGGGAGCAAACCGGAUUAGAUACCCGGGUAGUCCCAGCUGUAAACGAUGCAGACUCGAUGAUGCAUUGGCAUAUAGCCAGUGCAGUGUCGCAGGGAAGCCGUUAAGUCUGCCGCCUGGGAAGUACGUACGCAAGUAUGAAACUUGAAGGAACGGCGGGGGAGCAG